GGUUGGGUAGCUCAGUUGGUAGAGCACUUGCCCAUGAAAGGCAAAGGUCCCGAGUUCGAGUCUCGGUCCGGCACA
Molecule: transfer RNA, 75 nt
Filed under: Schistocerca americana (American grasshopper)
Lineage: Eukaryota; Metazoa; Arthropoda; Insecta; Orthoptera; Acrididae
Description: tRNA-Ser
Rfam family: tRNA
About the family: Transfer RNA (tRNA) molecules are approximately 80 nucleotides in length. Their secondary structure includes four short double-helical elements and three loops (D, anti-codon, and T loops). Further hydrogen bonds mediate the characteristic L-shaped molecular structure. tRNAs have two regions of fundamental functional importance: the anti-codon, which is responsible for specific mRNA codon recognition, and the 3' end, to which the tRNAs corresponding amino acid is attached (by aminoacyl-tRNA synthetases). tRNAs cope with the degeneracy of the genetic code in two manners: having more than one tRNA (with a specific anti-codon) for a particular amino acid; and 'wobble' base-pairing, i.e. permitting non-standard base-pairing at the 3rd anti-codon position.
Source: RNAcentral